AUGUUUCUUUGGGGUUUGAUAAAGAAUUUGGUCUGCCCGUUGGUGUUCUGAAAGGCUGCAGUAUUUUGACUGUACAAAGGUAGCAUAAUCAUUAGUUCUGUGAUUUGGAGCUGGUAUGAAUGGCUGGACGAGGACAAGCUGUCUUAUUUAUAUAACAGUGAAUUUUUUCUUUUUGUGCAAAAACAAAAAUUAAUUAGAAAGACAAGAAGACCCUUUUAAACUUUAAUGUAAAUAUUUUAAGUGUGGGGUAUAAUAUUGUAUAAAAUAGUAACAUUUUUGCUGGGGCGGCAAGAUAUUGAAACAAUAUCAAGUAAUGUAAGAUAAUAUUUUUCGUUAAAAAGAUCUUAUUGGGUUGAUUUAUAGAACAAGUUACUAAAGGGAUAACAGCAUAAUAAGUUUUAAUAGCUCUUAUUGACAAUUUUGUUUGUGA
Molecule: ribosomal RNA, 430 nt
Filed under: Uroblaniulus caroliniensis
Lineage: Eukaryota; Metazoa; Arthropoda; Diplopoda; Julida; Parajulidae
Description: partial 16S ribosomal RNA
Rfam family: Archaeal large subunit ribosomal RNA
Source: RNAcentral